This 215-nucleotide long non-coding RNA is filed under the name Setaria italica (foxtail millet). Its description in RNAcentral is "long non-coding RNA (SITA_LNC006799)". The record is from RNAcentral. Lineage: Eukaryota; Viridiplantae; Streptophyta; Magnoliopsida; Poales; Poaceae.
GUUGGGACUUGAACACAUUUCUUCAGUUGAGACACAUGGAAGACAUCGUGUAUGGCCGAUAGCUGUUCUGGGAGUUGGAUCCGGUAAGCAACGGGUCCACAGAUCUCCACAAUCUCAUAAGGGCCAAUGUAGCGGGGAGCCAACUUUCCUUUCACUCCAAACCGUUGCACUCCUUUGGUCGGGGAGACUCGAAAAUACACAUGAUCACCAAUGUC